Molecule: ribosomal RNA, 257 nt
Filed under: uncultured bacterium
Lineage: Bacteria
Description: partial 16S ribosomal RNA
Rfam family: Bacterial small subunit ribosomal RNA
Source: RNAcentral
UACGUAGGGGGCAAGCGUUAUCCGGAAUCAUUGGGCGUAAAGCGCGUGUAGGCGGUUCAGCAAGUCCGCUCUGAAAGCCCAGGGCUCAACCCUGGGAGGCGGGUGGAUACUGCUGGACUAGAGUCCGGAAGAGGGAGAUUGGAAUUCCUGGUGUAGCGGUGAAAAUGCGUAGAGAUCGGGGAGGAACACCCGUGGCGAAGGCGGCUCACUGGGCUGACCUUGACGCUGAGGCGCGAAGGCGUGGGGAGCGAACGAGG